AUACGUAGGGGGCGAGCGUUGUCCGGAUUUACUGGGCGUAAAGGGUGAGUAGGCGGUUGUAUAAGUCAGAUGUAAAAGGCACAGGCUUAACUUGUGUAAGCAUUUGAAACUGUAUUACUUGAGUGCAGGAGAGGUAAGUGGAAUUCCUAGUGUAGCGGUGAAAUGCGUAGAUAUUAGGAGGAACACCAGUGGCGAAGGCGGCUUUCUGGACAGUAACUGACGCUGAAGCACGAAAGCGUGGGGAGC
RNAcentral lists this ribosomal RNA (246 nucleotides) under uncultured bacterium. RNAcentral's name for it is "partial 16S ribosomal RNA". It matches the Rfam family "Bacterial small subunit ribosomal RNA", at positions 523 to 769 of the family's 1533-position model. The record is from RNAcentral.